GGUUAUGCUAAUAAGAGCGUAUGGUGGAUGCCUUGGCACUAAGAGCCGAUGAAAGACGUGAUAAGCUGCGAAAAGCUUCGGGGAGGAGCAAAUAUCCUGAGAUCCGGAGAUAUCUGAAUGGGGAAACCUACUUGAGAAGACCUCAAGUAUCCACAGCCCAAUCCAUAAGCUGUGGAAGGGAACCCGGUGAACUGAAACAUCUAAGUAGCCGGAGGAAGAGAAAACAACAUGUGAUUCCGUAAGUAGCGGCGAGCGAACGCGGAAGAGCCCAAACCGGAGUGCGUGCACUCCGGGGUUCGGACUGCAGGAUUGACGAGUGAGCCUAGUAGAAUGGUUUUGGGAAAGCCAGCCAGAGAGGGUGAAAGCCCCGUACACGAAAGGCAAGCGAGCAUGGCAGGAUCCAGAGUACCACGAGACACGUGAAACCUUGUGGGAAUGAGCGGGGACCACCCCGUAAGGCUAAAUACUCCUUAGUGACCGAUAGCGCAUAGUACUGUGAAGGAAAGGUGAAAAGGACCCCGGGAGGGGAGUGAAAGAGAACCUGAAACCAUAUGUUUACAAGCUGUGGAACAUCUUUAUAUGAUGAACCGCGUACUUUUUGUAGAACGGUCCGGCGAGUUACGCUGGCUGGCGAGGUUAAGGGCUGAAGGCCUGGAGCCGAAGGGAAACCGAGUCUGAACAGGGCGAAAUAGUCAGUCGGAGUAGACCCGAAACCGGGUGAUCUAUCCAUGUCCAGGUUGAAGUUGCCGUAAAAGGCAAUGGAGGACCGAACCCACAUCCGUUGAAAAGGGUGGGGAUGAGGUGUGGAUAGGGGAGAAAUUCCAAUCGAACCCGGAGAUAGCUGGUUCUCCUCGAAAUAGCUUUAGGGCUAGCCUCAUGCAAGUCUUACGGAGGUAGAGCACUGAAUUCCUAAGGGGGCGUCAAAGCUUACCAAGGGAUAUCAAACUCCGAAUGCCGUGUAGAUGGUGCAUGGGAGUCAGACUAUCCGAGAUAAGUUGGGUAGUCAAAAGGGAAAGAGCCCAGACCUACAGCUAAGGUCCCAAAAUGUGUGUUAAGUGGAAAAGGAUGUGGGAUUUCGAAGACAACUAGGAUGUUGGCUUAGAAGCAGCCAUCCAUUAAAAGAGUGCGUAAUAGCUCACUAGUCGAGAGGUCCUGCGCCGAAAAUGUCCGGGGCUGAAACACACUACCGAAGCUU
Molecule: ribosomal RNA, 1195 nt
Filed under: Mediterraneibacter gnavus
Lineage: Bacteria; Bacillati; Bacillota; Clostridia; Lachnospirales; Lachnospiraceae
Description: partial 23S ribosomal RNA
Rfam family: Bacterial large subunit ribosomal RNA
Source: RNAcentral